RNAcentral lists this non-coding RNA (19 nucleotides) under Mus musculus (house mouse). Lineage: Eukaryota; Metazoa; Chordata; Mammalia; Rodentia; Muridae. The record is from RNAcentral.
UAGGAAAUUGGACCAAUGG